CCUACGGGGGCAGCAGUGGGGAAUAUUGGACAAUGGGCGAAAGCCUGAUCCAGCCAUGCCGCGUGUGUGAAGAAGGCCUUCGGGUUGUAAAGCACUUUCAGUGGGGAAGAAAGCCUUGGGGCUAAUACCCUCGAGGUAGGACAUCACCCACAGAAGAAGCACCGGCUAACUCCGUGCCAGCAGCCGCGGUAAUACGGAGGGUGCGAGCGUUAAUCGGAAUUACUGGGCGUAAAGCGCGCGUAGGCGGUCUGAUAAGCCGGUUGUGAAAGCCCCGGGCUCAACCUGGGAACGGCAUCCGGAACUGUCAGGCUAGAGUGCAGGAGAGGAAGGUAGAAUUCCCGGUGUAGCGGUGAAAUGCGUAGAGAUCGGGAGGAAUACCAGUGGCGAAGGCGGCCUUCUGGACUGACACUGACGCUGAGGUGCGAAAGCGUGGGUAGCAAACAGGAUUAGAUACCCUGGUAGUC
Molecule: ribosomal RNA, 464 nt
Filed under: Vreelandella stevensii
Lineage: Bacteria; Pseudomonadati; Pseudomonadota; Gammaproteobacteria; Oceanospirillales; Halomonadaceae
Description: partial 16S ribosomal RNA
Rfam family: Bacterial small subunit ribosomal RNA
Source: RNAcentral